Molecule: small nuclear RNA, 36 nt
Filed under: Cervus elaphus hippelaphus
Lineage: Eukaryota; Metazoa; Chordata; Mammalia; Artiodactyla; Cervidae
Source: RNAcentral
AUCACUUCUCUGUCUUUUGGCUAAGAUUACGUGUAG